UACGUAGGUGGCAAGCGUUAUCCGGAUUUACUGGGUGUAAAGGGCGUGUAGGCGGGAGAGCAAGUCAGACGUGAAAUUCCAGGGCUCAACCCUGGAACUGCGUUUGAAACUGUUCUUCUUGAGUGAUGGAGAGGCAGGCGGAAUUCCGUGUGUAGCGGCGAAAUGCGUAGAUAUACGGAGGAACACCAGUGGCGAAGGCGGCCUGCUGGACAUUAACUGACGCUGAGGCGCGAAAGCGUGGGGAGCAAACAGG
RNAcentral lists this ribosomal RNA (253 nucleotides) under uncultured bacterium. RNAcentral's name for it is "partial 16S ribosomal RNA". It matches the Rfam family "Bacterial small subunit ribosomal RNA", at positions 524 to 776 of the family's 1533-position model. The record is from RNAcentral.